GCCUGAUUAGCUCAGUGGUAGAGCGUUGGCUUGUAAACCAAAGGUCGGAUGUUCAAUCCACCCAUUAGGCA
Molecule: transfer RNA, 71 nt
Filed under: Zancudomyces culisetae
Lineage: Eukaryota; Fungi; Kickxellomycota; Harpellomycetes; Harpellales; Legeriomycetaceae
Rfam family: tRNA
About the family: Transfer RNA (tRNA) molecules are approximately 80 nucleotides in length. Their secondary structure includes four short double-helical elements and three loops (D, anti-codon, and T loops). Further hydrogen bonds mediate the characteristic L-shaped molecular structure. tRNAs have two regions of fundamental functional importance: the anti-codon, which is responsible for specific mRNA codon recognition, and the 3' end, to which the tRNAs corresponding amino acid is attached (by aminoacyl-tRNA synthetases). tRNAs cope with the degeneracy of the genetic code in two manners: having more than one tRNA (with a specific anti-codon) for a particular amino acid; and 'wobble' base-pairing, i.e. permitting non-standard base-pairing at the 3rd anti-codon position.
Source: Rfam by way of RNAcentral